CUUCCCCAAAGUCAAAGUGACCACAAAAGAGAAGUGGUUUGAACUGAUUCAGGACAUCAAGGCAGCCGGGACGGCACAACUGAAGACCCUCCAGUGAUGACUGAGGUGGCACUGCAGACCAGGCGUCCUCUUCCCGAGUACAGAAAAGAAGCUGUUACACUGCCGAAUGCAGGCAGCUCCCAGCUGAGGUGGCGGUGAGGCAGAGAUCGACGGGACCUUGGCUUCCUUCCCAAGUCAUUCUCCCUGGUCAGCAGUGACAGCCACUAUCAACGUCAGUGAGCAGCGCCGGGUCUAGGACAGCGUGGACAAACUUUGUCUUCGAAAGGCCAGGGAGUAAUGUUCCAGACCUUGGCCAGGCACCACAUGAAAUGGCUGCUUUAGACUUUAGAGAUACGAUGAACGACAAAUGUCACGGCUCAUCCCAAGUACCGAGGUCUUCUCACACCACCCAGGUGGGUUCCAGGCCUGAGGAGGAAGCAGGAAACGCGGCACAGGGUGACCGAGGACCCGAUCCCCAUCCAUCCACGAGAGCCGGAUGCUGGCUGUGUCCGUCCUGCCCAUCGGAGGGCUCGGGGCAGAGCUGCUGCUUGGGUGCAAACCCCUCACUUUCCUUGGAUGACACUGGCAGCGCGAGAUUUCUCUCAGCUGAGAAGAGCUGUUCACUUGACCCCAGUGGCCAGUUACUCAGUAUUACGUGUUUCUCCUUCUUUCAUUGCAGAAUUCCUCAGGUGAGCAAUUUAUGCCAACUACCUUCAUUUUUAUCCUACCACAGCUUCCACAGCCCUUGCAAAUGGCGUUUCUCUUUACUGAGGUCUCUCUAUCCUCUCUCUGAUUUGUUGCUGAAGAAAAUUUGCUUUUUCUUAUCCCAUUUUUUAUUUUUCAGGUGAUACUCUGCUCCUAGGCUCCAUGAUGACUUCAGGACCCCUGGAACCCUGAGCCACCUUCUUCUCCACAGUCCUUGCCUGCCCUGUCCUUGUGUCUCCGAGGCUGUGUUGGUGCUCUUCUCAGCAAGCUCAAUGUUUUCACGUCAGGACUUCUUACUCCCUCGUUUACACCUCCCUGCUUUCCUCUUACCUAAGGGCUGGUCCAGCCGGUGGUUCUUCUGCAGACGUCCCCAGACAAACCAGCCCUGUCUCUUUCCACCACUCACGCUUUUGUUUUCUCCCCCACCCUGUGUUUAGAUGCCCAGCCCCGUCCGCUUGUCAGCUUUUCCAACAUAGUCUUGCUCAUAGAACCUCUCUCUCUCCCCGUCCCUCUCUCUUCCCUACAUUUGUGCACAUCCCAGACCUCCAUCCCCAACCUUCCGCAUUGUGCAAGGCACUGUCCUUAUCUAAUUUGCACCUCAACCCUCCUCUGAAGCAGUGGUAGAAGUUAUGUUGUAUUGGAAAAGGUCAAAUUAUGCAGGAUGUUGAAAGCCAGGUGAAGGCCCAGGUAGAAUUAGUUUUCAAACAAAGGCAGUUAUGUGAAAAUCAAGAGAGAAGACACAGAAGGAGCCCAUUGGCGGUGCUCAAAUGAUAAUGAUUAUUUAUUAUUUUGAACUUUGCUUGUAUCUUUAUAUCAACUAGAUUCAAAGCUGCUUGAGGGAAUGGGCCAUGGCUGAUUUUUUUUCCAAUUCCUCCUCAUCCUUUCCUCCUUUGAAAAGAUCUGUUUUAUAUGUGGUGGCUAGGAGUAUGUCCUGGGCCCUGUCAGCCUCUGUCAGCCAUGAGGAUGGAGGACCACACGGAGGACUCAAUGGAGGAUCG
RNA transcript from Fukomys damarensis (Damara mole-rat), 1742 nucleotides. RefSeq lists it as uncharacterized. The record is from RefSeq and is a predicted model, not a curated record. NCBI's taxonomy places the organism in Eukaryota, Metazoa, Chordata, Mammalia, Rodentia, Bathyergidae. The transcript has 5 exons.